Molecule: ribosomal RNA, 516 nt
Filed under: uncultured bacterium
Lineage: Bacteria
Description: bacterial SSU rRNA
Rfam family: Bacterial small subunit ribosomal RNA
Source: RNAcentral
AACACAUGCAAGUCGAGCGGAUGAAGGGAGCUUGCUCCUGGAUUCAGCGGCGGACGGGUGAGUAAUGCCUAGGAAUCUGCCUGGUAGUGGGGGACAACGUUUCGAAAGGAACGCUAAUACCGCAUACGUCCUACGGGAGAAAGCAGGGGACCUUCGGGCCUUGCGCUAUCAGAUGAGCCUAGGUCGGAUUAGCUAGUUGGUGAGGUAAUGGCUCACCAAGGCGACGAUCCGUAACUGGUCUGAGAGGAUGAUCAGUCACACUGGAACUGAGACACGGUCCAGACUCCUACGGGAGGCAGCAGUGGGGAAUAUUGGACAAUGGGCGAAAGCCUGAUCCAGCCAUGCCGCGUGUGUGAAGAAGGUCUUCGGAUUGUAAAGCACUUUAAGUUGGGAGGAANGGUUGUAAAUUAAUACUCUGCAAUUUUGACGUUACCGACAGAAUAAGCACCGGCUAACUCUGUGCCANCAGCCGCGGUAAUACAGAGGGUGCAAGCGUUAAUCGGAAUUACUGGGCGU